UUACGGCCAUAUCUCGUUGAAACACAACUUCCCUUACGAUCACCGAAGUAAAGCAACGUCGAGCUUGGUCAGUACCUAGAUGAGUGAUCGCUUGAAAAUACCAGGUAUUGUAAG
This is a non-coding RNA of Acanthosepion pharaonis, 114 nucleotides long. Lineage: Eukaryota; Metazoa; Mollusca; Cephalopoda; Sepiida; Sepiidae. The record is from the annotation of a GenBank genome assembly.